CGAAACGAAGCAACUGAUUUGCCAUUUUUGCUGACGUGGCACGCCACGUCCCCGCGACAGCGUGUGAUAGGGGUGCCAAAAGACCUGUGUGCCCUCGUCUUUCUCCUCCGUUACCCCCCGGCUAACAGAGACCCGACGCCAUCCCCUUCCCCGUCUCCACUUCUCCCCCAGGCCUCCCUCCUCCCUGCCUCCCCGAUGAAAAACCCUAGGUCUAGAGCGGCGGCGGCUGCGGCGGCGGCCAUCCAUCUCCCAUUCCUCAUCUCCCCCGUUCCCCAUCUCCCCCCUUCCUUCCCUGCGUAGCGGGUCACCAGCGCCCGCUAGUCAUCCCUUCUUCCCCCAUCCGCCACGCGCAAGCCAUGUCGCAGGUUGGAGCGUCAUCAAGUGUGAGGAGGCCGGUUGUAGAUGCUCUUGUCGGUGAGGAGACGGGCUUACCUUUGAUCCAGUGCCCUUUGUGCCGUAGGGCACGGGUAGUUGAGCGGCGCACACAGCAAGAUUCGGUGAACUACGGUCGGAUAUACAUAAAAUGUCCAAGGAAUGAUAGAUGGGUGAGUUUGAUUUUGGUUUUUUAGUUUCGGCAUUUGCAUUUGAUGUUAGACUCAUUUUCUUGACUUGAUGUUCAGAUUGCAGAUAAAUGUGAGUACUACAGGUGGCAAAGGUUUUAUUUCAAAGAUUUGGUUGAUGCCAAGGUGAUUGAAGUGCUUAAUUGGGAAGUUGAUGACCAAGUUGAUGACCAAGAAGUUGAGUCCAUGGGGCGUGCAGAGAGGGCAGUUGCAAGUUUGAAAUUUGAGAAGGAAGCCAUGGAGGCCAAGCUGGAUAAAAUGAUGAAUGCCUUGUUGCUGUUGACUGUGCUUCUUGUAGGAUUUAUGGGUGUUGUUGUUGGGAACAUGUUGAAGUAGUAGUAACAUUUGUGUUGUUGUUGUUGUUAGACUCAUUUGUAUUGUGUCUUGGUGUAAUCAAUGAAAAAUCACUUUUGUUUUUGGAUCACUGUGUUGAUUCCUGAAUUUCAUUCAUGGACAAGCAAUAUAGUUCAUGGCAAACAGAUACAGUUGACAACCAAAUAGGUCAUGGCAAACAGAUACAUCUUCAUUGCCAACAGAAUUUGUUCAUGAGCAAUGGCCGAGCAAUAUAGUUCAUGUCAAACAGAUAUACUUGACAGCCAAAUAGACAUUGUUGAUGGCCAACAG
RNAcentral lists this long non-coding RNA (1184 nucleotides) under Setaria viridis. RNAcentral's name for it is "long non-coding RNA (SVIR_LNC003973)". The record is from RNAcentral. Lineage: Eukaryota; Viridiplantae; Streptophyta; Magnoliopsida; Poales; Poaceae.